Molecule: long non-coding RNA, 773 nt
Filed under: Marmota monax (woodchuck)
Lineage: Eukaryota; Metazoa; Chordata; Mammalia; Rodentia; Sciuridae
Source: RNAcentral
UUUCUGGGGGUUUAUUUUAGCUGGCCAUCCUAGAAGUCAGCAUAGCUCAGGAGAAAAAAAAUCCAUAUGAUAAAAGGAAUGUGUGUUUGUAUGCAUGUGCACACAUGUCUUGAUUUUGCUUGAUACAGUUUGAUAGCUGAUAUGCACUGAAAGUUUCUCCACCACAUUGCCAAUCCAAUGGAUUGUUUCUGGCAGAGAUGCCAUAUUUUCACAUUUCCUCUUUCAGUUUGGUCUUUUCUUGCAAAACAUGUUGCCAACAGAGUGUAGGUGCUUCAGAGACAUCCAGUCUACAGCAAUCUAGUCAUUCCAAACAACAGGAUAUUGGUUUUGACUUUGGAAGUUUAUAUUUACUAUGAAGAAUACUGAGUUUUGCCAAACACCUUCUAUAAAGUAUGCUUAAUUUCCAGCCACUACAAGAUAAAUUACAAAGAGAAGGUCUUAGGCAAAAUUGACAAAACACAUAAUUCCAGUUUUACCAAAAUUAAGUUAAAUUUUCAGUCUCUUACAUAGAUAUAUAUUUUCACAAAACAUAAAAUAAUCCUGUUUUUUGUUACAUAUUUUUAUUAUUUUUAUUUAUUAGUGCAUGAUAGUAGUACAUAAUAGUGGGUUGACAAUUCUGCUUUAAUGUCCCCAAGGACAAUGCCAGACUCCAUGUAGCUUUCCUUCUCUGGAACUAUGACAAGAGAAUAUAUUCAUCUUUAUGAAAAUGAACUUGACUUCAAAAUCCACGUUUCUUUCAUUUCCACUAUACUUCAGUAGCUAUAACAUUGUAG